This 1111-nucleotide small RNA is filed under the name Arabidopsis thaliana (thale cress). RNAcentral describes it as "ATSL191460". The record is from RNAcentral. Lineage: Eukaryota; Viridiplantae; Streptophyta; Magnoliopsida; Brassicales; Brassicaceae.
UGUUUAAUUUUAUAUAUAGUAACAUCAUACAUACCACAUAACAUUUUUGGUUUUAUAUAAUCUUUUCUAAAUUAGGAUGAUUUGAUAUGUUUAAUAUUAGUGGUCUUAAGAAUAAUUAAUUAAAGAUUUAACCCGUAUUGAAACGGUGGAUUAAUUAUAUUUUACUUUUUUAUUAAUAUUGAUUCAAAAACCCGUCCCUCCAAAUCCAUCUUGCCAAAAAGCCAUUUAUUUUAUUAAUAUUAAUUUUAUUUAUGAUAUGACUCUGAAUUAUAAUCUAAAUAUUUUAGCUAAUAACAUAGGAGUACACCAUAUUUAUUUAAUAGGAGAAUGUACCAUAUGACCCGAAUGCACUUUUAUCCAAAUCUACCAAAACAGUCUUGCAAAAAUACUAUAGAGAUAAAAAAACAAUAGUCGGAUUUGAUAGGUAUAAGAUUAGCAAAUAUAUUAAUUAGCAAAUAUACGCUAAUUAACUUGAUUAAUGGGACUUCGUUUCACAGUUCCUUAGCAAAUCACCUGGAGGACAUCAGUUUUUGGGCAAAUAAAUUUGCAAGCAUUCAGUUUGGUUUUAUUAGGAGAAAGGGAAACAAAUUAGCUCAUGUCUUAGCGAAAUAUGGUUGUACUUAUUCUACUUUUUAUUCUGGUUCUGGUUCUUUACCUAUUUGGCUUGAUCGAUACUUUUGUAAUGACCCUAAUUGAUUAAUAUAAUUGUUUUGACGUAAAAAAAAAAAUAUAUUAGUUAGCUUAAAUUAGUUAAAAAAUAUAAAUUGAAAAGGUAUAUUACACUUUAUUCGAAUAUAGUAUCAAAACUUAUAUAACACAGAGAUUUGAUAAUUUUUUAAUUGUUGAAUAUUUUUUUUUGUGCUAAUUUUUAUGUGACUAAGAUUUAAUUGAUUUUGUAUAUAAAAUAUUAAAUUGUUUUACGAACUUUUUGUUUAUAAUUUGGUAACAGAUAGAUAUUUGAACAUUCAGUAUAUUUUGCUUCAGUUUAGGAAAUCUUUGAUGACCCGUCUUUAGAUCCAAUAAGCCCUACAACUAAGAGAUGAAUAUUAUCGUUAAAUAAUUUUGGUAACCUUAACGAUAUCAUUAAAGGAUUUUGUUUUUGAUUAAAUUU